This 480-nucleotide ribosomal RNA is filed under the name uncultured organism. RNAcentral describes it as "partial 16S ribosomal RNA". It matches the Rfam family "Bacterial small subunit ribosomal RNA", at positions 330 to 801 of the family's 1533-position model. The record is from RNAcentral.
CGUACACUCCUGCGGGAGGCAGCAGUAGGGAAUCUUCGGCAAUGGGGGCAACCCUGACCGAGCAACGCCGCGUGAGUGAAGAAGGUUUUCGGAUCGUAAAGCUCUGUUGUAAGUCAAGAACGAGUGUGAGAGUGGAAAGUUCACACUGUGACGGUAGCUUACCAGAAAGGGACGGCUAACUACGUGCCAGCAGCCGCGGUAAUACGUAGGUCCCGAGCGUUGUCCGGAUUUAUUGGGCGUAAAGCGAGCGCAGGCGGUUUGAUAAGUCUGAAGUUAAAGGCUGUGGCUCAACCAUAGUUCGCUUUGGAAACUGUCAAACUUGAGUGCAGAAGGGGAGAGUGGAAUUCCAUGUGUAGCGGUGAAAUGCGUAGAUAUAUGGAGGAACACCGGUGGCGAAAGCGGCUCUCUGGUCUGUAACUGACGCUGAGGCUCGAAAGCGUGGGGAGCGAACAGGAUUAGAAACCCUGGUAGUCCCAUGAU